GGAUUUGAGAGUGAUCUGGCUGUGACAUCUGUCACCCCAUUGAUCUUGAGGGUUGAUUUGGCUGGCUGCAGUGGUGUCCCCUUCAUCACCUCACUGCUCCAUGUGCAUCUCUCCCAACGCUGCACAUUCAGUCUACUGUGGAUGACCUUCCCUGAUAGAGGAGGACCAUCCACGGUACUGAGAAGAAAUAUGUUAAACUCUUUCUCUGAGUUAAUUGAUUUGUCUGUUUUUCAUUGUAGUUCAUUUAAUGUUUAUAAACAGAAAAGCUAUGUAAGUACAUUAAAUU
This is an unclassified non-coding RNA of Mustela putorius furo (domestic ferret), 286 nucleotides long. Its record names the gene 7SK. It matches the Rfam family "7SK RNA". From Rfam's summary of the family: 7SK was discovered as an abundant small nuclear RNA in the mid-70s but a possible function has only recently been suggested. Lineage: Eukaryota; Metazoa; Chordata; Mammalia; Carnivora; Mustelidae. The record is from Ensembl.